This 274-nucleotide ribosomal RNA is filed under the name uncultured bacterium. RNAcentral describes it as "partial 16S ribosomal RNA". It matches the Rfam family "Bacterial small subunit ribosomal RNA", at positions 523 to 796 of the family's 1533-position model. The record is from RNAcentral.
AUACGAAGGGUGCUAGCGUUGUUCGGAAUUACUGGGCGUAAAGAGCAUGUAGGCGGAUAGAUUAGUCAGAGGCGAAAGCCCCGAGCUCAACUCGGGAACUGCCUUUGAUACUGUUUAUCUAGAGACCGAGAGAGGUGAGUGGAAUUCUCAGUGUAGAGGUGAAAUUCGUAGAUAUUGGGAAGAACACCAGUGGCGAAGGCGGCUCACUGGCUCGGAACUGACGCUGAGAUGCGAAAGCGUGGGGAGCGAACAGGAUUAGAAACCCCAGUAGUCC